Cololabis saira (Pacific saury) is the source of this 428-nucleotide long non-coding RNA. RefSeq lists it as uncharacterized. The transcript has 3 exons. The record is from RefSeq and is a predicted model, not a curated record. NCBI's taxonomy places the organism in Eukaryota, Metazoa, Chordata, Actinopteri, Beloniformes, Belonidae.
CUGAAGAAAAAGAUGGUGGAUCUGUGGACCGAUUUGAAUGCUUGAUUUCAUGAUGGACAACAUUGCUGCAUCCUCAAGAACCCUUUCAAGAAUGGCAAAGCAACGGGAGGUCUGCGUGACAGCGAUGGAGAGGCUGCAUCAUAGAGAAGGACAGAGAAUUGGGGGAAGGAGCAUUUCGUGGUGAUAGAUGAGUCACUUCAGACAUAAAAGAAAGUAUGGAAGGGGCAGGAUGGCUGGGGGCUGGAAGCGGAGGAAGUGGGUGUUCGGGAUGCUGGGGGUGCAAAGCACGCGGAGGCGGCCAGGGCGAAGACAUCCAGGGAAGCCGGUGCUUCGCUUGGUGGAGAAGAGGGGGAGGAGGGAACUGGUGCCACUCAUAGCUCAUCAUGUCAAAAGGGAGCAGACAUUUCCAGGGAGGAUAAACAGAGGGU